Molecule: unclassified non-coding RNA, 294 nt
Filed under: plant metagenome
Description: partial contains small subunit ribosomal RNA and internal transcribed spacer 1
Rfam family: Eukaryotic small subunit ribosomal RNA (bases 1-54)
Source: RNAcentral
GGAAGUAAAGGUCGUAACAAGGUUUCCGUAGGUGAACCUGCGGAAGGAUCAUUACAGAGAGUGCAAGUCCUCUUUCGAGAGGCUUGCAUGAAAACAAUCAUGCAUGGGGCGCGUAUGGCUACCACCAUACGGCAGCUUCAUGUCGACCGGUGUAUUGAAAUUGUAUGCUUGGCGGGAGUUUUAUGGGAUGUUUUCAUUUCAUAUGCCCGCCAAAGUUUUUAACCACAAUGAAAUGUUUUAUCAUAAUCAAAUAACAGUUUAUUACAACUGUUGGCAACGGAUCACUCGGCUCUC